UACGGGGGGUGCGAGCGUUGUCCGGAAUUAUUGGGCGUAAAGAGCUUGUAGGCGGUUUGUCGCGUCUGCUGUGAAAUCUCAAGGCUCAACCUUGAGCUUGCAGUGGGUACGGGCAGACUAGAGUGUGGUAGGGGAGACUGGAAUUCCAGGUGUAGCGGUGAAAUGCGUAGAUAUCUGGAGGAAUACCGGUGGCGAAGGCGGCAUCCUGGACCAUAACUGACGCUGAGGCGCGAAAGCUAGGGGAGCAAACGGG
This 253-nucleotide ribosomal RNA is filed under the name uncultured bacterium. RNAcentral describes it as "partial 16S ribosomal RNA". It matches the Rfam family "Bacterial small subunit ribosomal RNA", at positions 524 to 776 of the family's 1533-position model. The record is from RNAcentral.